RNAcentral lists this ribosomal RNA (309 nucleotides) under uncultured bacterium. Its description in RNAcentral is "partial 16S ribosomal RNA". It matches the Rfam family "Bacterial small subunit ribosomal RNA", at positions 504 to 808 of the family's 1533-position model. The record is from RNAcentral.
AGAGACAGCAGCAGCCACGGUAAUACGUAGGGUGCAAGCGUUAAUCGGAAUUACUGGGCGUAAAGCGUGCGCAGGCGGUUCGCUAAGACAGAUGUGAAAUCCCCGGGCUUAACCUGGGAACUGCAUUUGUGACUGGCGGGCUAGAGUAUGGCAGAGGGGGUAGAAUUCCACGUGUAGCAGUGAAAUGCGUAGAGAUGUGGAGGAAUACCGAUGGCGAAGGCAGCCCCCUGGGCCAAUACUGACGCUCAUGCACGAAAGCGUGGGGAGCAAACAGGAUUAGAUACCCGAGUAGUCCCUGUCUCUUAUACA